Molecule: long non-coding RNA, 832 nt
Filed under: Homo sapiens (human)
Lineage: Eukaryota; Metazoa; Chordata; Mammalia; Primates; Hominidae
Description: HSALNT0179683
Source: RNAcentral
CUUGACCAGCCUGAUUGGUUGCAGGAGGGGACCAAUCAGAGGUACCUCCCAUUUUUCAUCUGCAGCCCAAUGCAAAGUAAUGACAUGGAUCUGGAGAGAUUCUCUUAGGAGAGAAUCUGGCUAAGUGUCUAGCAGGAUGAUUGAUUAACAAGAUGUUUUGUUUUCAUCAUCUCAGAGAUAAGUACAACUAUUCUGUCAUCUAAUCUGCUAACUCCUACAUUAUCAAUACGCUGUAUUGAGGUAUAAUUGAUAUGCCAAAUAACUGGACACAUUCAACUUGUGCAAUUUGAUGAGUUUGGAGAUACACAUACAUCUGUGAAACCAUCACCAAAAUCAAGAGAAAGUGGACUAUGAACAAUCGAAAGAAAGUGGUGGAUGGUUUCUGGAAGGACAAGUCUGCACCAGAGAAUAAAAGGGCAUUCCUUAGGGUUGCUGAGGAUUUUCUUUGAUUGUAUUCUGCUAAUGUGUGUGCAAGGCAGAUAUAACACAUUUGUGGAAGGCUCUAGAGACAUUUUCUACAAAUUUUACCCUGGUUUCAGAACAACUUUCUCUGAUCUCUGUGGACAUGCUUAAAAUGGCUGACUCACACAGCAAGACUAUUUAACUGUGCCUAAAAUCAACCCACAUUCAGAUGCUAACUGUAAUCCUAUUCCCUGAUCCAUCAGGAAAAAGAGUCUGAUUGACAUAACUUGUCAAGUGUUCGCCCCAGCUUCUAUCAACUAUGGGGAAGGAAGGGCCAGAAGAGGUGUAACCAUCAUGGCUACCAGGUUUCGAAAUAUUUACAUUACAUACUGCAUUUAUUAAAAUACAAAUUAAAUCUGCAAUAAAAAAC